UCGCAGAUAAUCUGACAGGUCCUGCAGAUGGCUCUGAAAAUUCAGGCACUGACACGGCUCCACCCAAAAAUUCUAAUGAAAGCAAAGGUCCUCCACCAGGUGUUUCUAAGUCAACAACCAAAUUGGCAUCAUCUACUUCAUUAUCCGGUAGGAAUAAGUCACCCGGUAACUCUGUCAGACCUCCUUCCAGCAGAAUUAUGGCCAAAAAAACAAGAACAAGAAAAUUUCAUCACAGAACACAGAUGGUUCGGAUUCAGAUAAUGACUUCCCAGACUUAGAAGACUCAGCAACCAGGACUGACGACUCAGAUGAUGAAAUCGACCUGCAAAAUAUAAGUGAGCUCUCAGCCUCAUCUCUAACUGGGAGUGAAAUAACCACUCGCAGCCUGCGUGAUAAACGUGGUAAAAUCUCAGAUCUUGGCAAAGACUCAGAUAAUUCAAAUGAUAGCAAAAAGAAGGAUACAACCCCACGUCCAACCAAAAAACCCAUCCUGAAAC
Molecule: long non-coding RNA, 497 nt
Filed under: Bemisia tabaci
Lineage: Eukaryota; Metazoa; Arthropoda; Insecta; Hemiptera; Aleyrodidae
Description: lncRNA ENSSSA2NGG010339
Source: RNAcentral